Molecule: long non-coding RNA, 770 nt
Organism: Oreochromis niloticus (Nile tilapia)
Lineage: Eukaryota; Metazoa; Chordata; Actinopteri; Cichliformes; Cichlidae
Exons: 3
Source: RefSeq, a predicted model, not a curated record
CUGAGGAAUGUACUUUGUUAAAUCUGUGCCAUUACGGCAGCUUUGUGUCAUGGUCUAUGUGUGAUCGUGUGAUUUUUUUGUGUGAGGACCCAAACGCAGAAAGAGGAAGCUGGACUAAGACUUAACCAAAAGUGAGCCGUUUAUUAUGGCUGGUAGCAAACAUGGACAAAAACAGAAAAACCAAAAUGAAUAAAAACGGAAAUAACACCUAACACCUGAAAUCUGAAACACUUGGAAAUAACAAGGGAACAUGGAGACACGAGGGAGGAUUAACGGGCGAUUUGCAAAUGCACCGACAAAGGACAAGAGGAAGACCGAGACAAUAAAUACACUAAAGGAUGACGAGGGAAGUGGAAACUCAUGGGAACACAGCUGGAGGAAAUUGGAUGUGAUGACACAGGGGGAAGGAAAACUUAACACAGCGAACACAGUACGAGAGACUGUCACUGACUUAAGACACACAGCUUGACACAGCAAUGGGGAUAAACAAGCAGGGAGGCAGAUGAGACACAAGAAGAGGAAAGGGGAAACAGCUGAUGGGGAGUCCCAGGUGUUCUACCUCUACUGGGUUUGUCAUCUCUGACAUCACCAUGAGUCAUAGACCCACUGUAUCAUCAGGCCUUUCAGUUUGUGGCACCAAGGCUUUGGAAUGGUCUCCAACAUCAUUUAGCUGGAUCUGUUGACUCCUAUAAACAGCUAUUAAAAACUCGUUUAAUGUGGCUUCCUAUUGAUAGUAACUUUUUUUUUUAAAAUUUGUGUUUUCUUUUAUU